RNAcentral lists this transfer RNA (69 nucleotides) under Marmota marmota marmota (Alpine marmot). It matches the Rfam family "tRNA". Rfam says of the family: Transfer RNA (tRNA) molecules are approximately 80 nucleotides in length. Their secondary structure includes four short double-helical elements and three loops (D, anti-codon, and T loops). RNAcentral also lists the same sequence under 1 other name. The record is from Rfam by way of RNAcentral. Lineage: Eukaryota; Metazoa; Chordata; Mammalia; Rodentia; Sciuridae.
GGGGUUAUGGCUCAGUGGUAGAGCACUUGCCUAAAGCAUGUGAAGUUCUGGGUUCAAUCCUCAGUACCA